RNAcentral lists this small nucleolar RNA (160 nucleotides) under Tupaia belangeri (northern tree shrew). RNAcentral describes it as "Small nucleolar RNA Z178 (ENSTBEG00000021197.1)". Lineage: Eukaryota; Metazoa; Chordata; Mammalia; Scandentia; Tupaiidae. The record is from RNAcentral.
AGAGGAGGUGAGAGAGAUCGGUGGAGCAGGCAGGUGGCAUGGUGGGUAAAGGUGCUGGAUUCCCACACGGCCGACCGCAUUGCGAGUCCCGGACCUAGGGCUUGCUUUCUCACUUUCCCUCUCUCUGUCUCUCUCUCUCUCACUCACUCUGUCCCUCUUU